AGAGUUUGAUCAUGGCUCAGAUUGAACGCUGGCGGCAGGCUUAACACAUGCAAGUCGAGCGGGGAAGUAUAGCUUGCUAUACGACCUAGCGGCGGACGGGUGAGUAAUGCUUAGGAAUCUGCCUAUUAGUGGGGGACAACAUUCCGAAAGGAAUGCUAAUACCGCAUACGCCCUACGGGGGAAAGCAGGGGAUCUUCGGACCUUGCGCUAAUAGAUGAGCCUAAGUCAGAUUAGCUGGUUGGUGGGGUAAAGGCCUACCAAGGCGACGAUCUGUAGCGGGUCUGAGAGGAUGAUCCGCCACACUGGGACUGAGACACGGCCCAGACACCUACGGGAGGCAGCAGUGGGGAAUAUUGGACAAUGGGCGCAAGCCUGAUCCAGCCAUGCCGCGUGUGUGAAGAGGGCCUUUUGGUUGUAAAGCACUUUAAGCGAGGAGGAGGCUACUUGGAUUAAUACUCUAGGAUAGUGGACGUUACUCGCAGAAUAAGCACCGGCUAACUCUGUGCCAGCAGCCGCGGUAAUACAGAGGGUGCGAGCGUUAAUCGGAUUUACUGGGCGUAAAGCGUGCGUAGGCGGCUUUUUAAGUCGGAUGUGAAAUCCCUGAGCUUAACUUAGGAAUUGCAUUCGAUACUGGGAAGCUAGAGUAUGGGAGAGGAUGGUAGAAUUCCAGGUGUAGCGGUGAAAUGCGUAGAGAUCUGGAGGAAUACCGAUGGCGAAGGCAGCCAUCUGGCCUAAUACUGACGCUGAGGUACGAAAGCAUGGGGAGCAAACAGGAUUAGAUACCCUGGUAGUCCAUGCCGUAAACGAUGUCUACUAGCCGUUGGGGCCUUUGAGGCUUUAGUGGCGCAGCUAACGCGAUAAGUAGACCGCCUGGGGAGUACGGUCGCAAGACUAAAACUCAAAUGAAUUGACGGGGGCCCGCACAAGCGGUGGAGCAUGUGGUUUAAUUCGAUGCAACGCGAAGAACCUUACCUGGUCUUGACAUAGUAAGAACUUUCCAGAGAUGGAUUGGUGCCUUCGGGAACUUACAUACAGGUGCUGCAUGGCUGUCGUCAGCUCGUGUCGUGAGAUGUUGGGUUAAGUCCCGCAACGAGCGCAACCCUUUUCCUUAUUUGCCAGCGGGUUAAGCCGGGAACUUUAAGGAUACUGCCAGUGACAAACUGGAGGAAGGCGGGGACGACGUCAAGUCAUCAUGGCCCUUACGACCAGGGCUACACACGUGCUACAAUGGUCGGUACAAAGGGUUGCUACCUAGCGAUAGGAUGCUAAUCUCAAAAAGCCGAUCGUAGUCCGGAUUGGAGUCUGCAACUCGACUCCAUGAAGUCGGAAUCGCUAGUAAUCGCGGAUCAGAAUGCCGCGGUGAAUACGUUCCCGGGCCUUGUACACACCGCCCGUCACACCAUGGGAAUUUGUUGCACCAGAAGUAGGUAGUCUAACCGCAAGGAGGACGCUUACCACGGUGUGGCCGAUGACUGGGG
RNAcentral lists this ribosomal RNA (1478 nucleotides) under metagenome. Its description in RNAcentral is "bacterial SSU rRNA". It matches the Rfam family "Bacterial small subunit ribosomal RNA". The record is from RNAcentral.